GAUGAAGGAACGUAGCGAAAUGCGAUAAGUAAUGUGAAUUGCAGAAUUCAGUGAAUCAUCGAAUCUUUGAACGCACAUUGCGCCCCCUGGUAUUCCGGGGGGCAUGCCUGUUCGAGCGUCAUUACAACCCUCAAGCUCUGCUUGGUAUUGGGCCCCGCCAGUUCUGGCGGGCCCUAAAGUCAGUGGCGGUGCCUUCCGGCUCCGAGCGUAGUAAUUCUUCUCGCUCUGGAGACCCGGUUGUGUGCUUGCCAACAACCCCCAAUUUUUUAAGGUUGACCUCGGAUCAGGUAGGGAUACCCGCUGAACUUAAGCAUAUCAAUAAGCGGAGGA
Molecule: unclassified non-coding RNA, 330 nt
Filed under: soil metagenome
Description: partial contains 5.8S ribosomal RNA, internal transcribed spacer 2, and large subunit ribosomal RNA
Rfam family: 5.8S ribosomal RNA (bases 1-121)
Source: RNAcentral